RNAcentral lists this ribosomal RNA (1415 nucleotides) under Parapolybia nodosa. RNAcentral describes it as "16S ribosomal RNA". Lineage: Eukaryota; Metazoa; Arthropoda; Insecta; Hymenoptera; Vespidae. The record is from RNAcentral.
UUUUAUUAAAAUAGAAUGUUUAAGUUAAUUUUAUAAAUAAUUUUUUUAUAAAUGAUUUUAAAUUUAUAUUAAUUAAUAUGAUAUAAAAUAAUUUUUGUUUAAGUAUAAAGUAAAAAUAAAUUUUUUAAAAUUUAAAUUUAGUAAUGAAAGUGAAUAUUGUUUAAAAUUAAUUAAGUAAAUUUUAUUUGUUGUACCUUUUGUAUCAGGGUUGAUUAAUAAAAAUAUUUUUAUUAUAAAAUAAAUCUCGAAUUUAAAAGAUCUAACUAAAAAUUUAAGUUAUUGUUGAAUAAAUAUUUUUAAUUUUUAUUUAGUAAUGAAAUGUUAAUCAUUUUUAAAUAUAUCUAGUUUUUUAAGAAUUGAAUAUAAAUUCAGCUUUAAAAUUAUUAUUUGAUUAAAUUUAUAAAUUAAUUAUAAUUUUAAUGUAAAUAUAUUAAGGAUAAACUUAAUAUAUUAUUUAUAAUAUUAAUAAAAAAAAUUAUUUAUAAGUAUUUAUAAAAUUUAAUAUCUUUUUAAAAAAUUUUAUAAUUUAUAUUUUAAAAUUUUUAAAAUUUUUAAUAUUUAAUAUUUAAUGUUAUUUAUUAAAAAAAAAUAUUUAAUAAUUAUUUAUUUAUUAAAAUGAUUAUAUUAGUAAAAAUUAAUUUGUUUGUAAAUUUAAUUUUAAUUAAUUUGUUUUAAGGAAUUAGACAAAAUAAAUUGAUUUAUAAAAUUAUAUAUUUACCUGUUUAUCAAAAACAUGUCUUAUUGUUUAAAUAAUAAGUCUAUUCUGCCCAUUGAAUUAAAUGUUUAAAAGGCUGCAGUAUAUUGACUGUACAAAGGUAGCAAAAUCAUUAGUUUUUUAAUUGAAAACUAGAAUGAAAGAAUGAAUAAAAUAUAAAUUGUCUCAAAAUAAAUAUAUUGAAUUUAAAUAAAAAGUAAAAAUGCUUUUAUUUUUUUAUUAGACGAGAAGACCCUAAGAAUUUAAUAAUUAUUUAAAUUAAUUAUUUUUGAAAUUUAUUUUAAUUUAAAUAAUUAUUUUACUGGGAGGGUAAUUAAAAAUAUUAAACUUUAAUUUAAAUUUAACUUUGAUUAAUGAUUAAUUGAUAAUUUUUAUAAUUAUAAGAAAUAAUUACCUUAGGGAUAACAGCGUAAUAAUUUUGGAGAGUUCAUAUUGAUAAAAUUGUUUGCGACCUCGAUGUUGAAUUAAAAUAAAAAUUAAAUGGAGAUAUUUAAAUUUUUAGUCUGUUCGACUAUUAAAAUUUUACAUGAUUUGAGUUCAGAUCGGUGUAAGCCAGAUCGGUUUUUAUCUAUAAAUACUUAUUUAUUUUAUUGUACGAAAGGACUUAAAAUAUGAAAUAAUUUUUUUUUUAUGAUUAUUAAUAAUUUGAAAUAAAUUGAAAGUUGAAUUUUUAAAAUUUAAAUUAAAACUAAAACAAUUU